GCCUUUUUAGCUCAGGUGGUAGAGCGUUCCACUCGUACAAAACUGAUGUAUGGAAAGGUCGCUAGUUCGAAUCUGGUAGGAGGCA
RNAcentral lists this transfer RNA (85 nucleotides) under Lentinula lateritia. RNAcentral describes it as "tRNA-Thr". It matches the Rfam family "tRNA". Rfam says of the family: Transfer RNA (tRNA) molecules are approximately 80 nucleotides in length. Their secondary structure includes four short double-helical elements and three loops (D, anti-codon, and T loops). Lineage: Eukaryota; Fungi; Basidiomycota; Agaricomycetes; Agaricales; Omphalotaceae. The record is from RNAcentral.